GGGGUUAUGGCUCAGUGGUAAAGCACUUGCCUUGUAUGAGGCCCUGGGUUCGAUCCUCAAUACCCCA
RNAcentral lists this transfer RNA (67 nucleotides) under Marmota monax (woodchuck). It matches the Rfam family "tRNA". Rfam says of the family: Transfer RNA (tRNA) molecules are approximately 80 nucleotides in length. Their secondary structure includes four short double-helical elements and three loops (D, anti-codon, and T loops). Further hydrogen bonds mediate the characteristic L-shaped molecular structure. tRNAs have two regions of fundamental functional importance: the anti-codon, which is responsible for specific mRNA codon recognition, and the 3' end, to which the tRNAs corresponding amino acid is attached (by aminoacyl-tRNA synthetases). tRNAs cope with the degeneracy of the genetic code in two manners: having more than one tRNA (with a specific anti-codon) for a particular amino acid; and 'wobble' base-pairing, i.e. permitting non-standard base-pairing at the 3rd anti-codon position. The record is from Rfam by way of RNAcentral. Lineage: Eukaryota; Metazoa; Chordata; Mammalia; Rodentia; Sciuridae.